AGCGAACGCUGGCGGCAGGCCUAACACAUGCAAGUCGAGCGCCCCGCAAGGGGAGCGGCAGACGGGAGAGUAACGCGUGGGAACGUGCCCUUUGGUUCGGAACAACCCAGGGAAACUUGGGCUAAUACCGGAUAAGCCCUCACGGGGAAAGAUUUAUCGCCGAAGGAUCGGCCCGCGUCUGAUUAGCUAGUUGGGGGGGGUAAUGGCCCACCAAGGCGACGAUCAGUAGCUGGUCUGAGAGGAUGAUCAGCCUCACUGGGACUGAGACACGGCCCAGACUCCUACGGGAGGCAGCAGUGGGGAAUAUUGGACAAUGGGCGCAAGCCUGAUCCAGCCAUGCCGCGUGGGUGAUGAAGGCCCUAGGGUUGUAAAGCCCUUUCGGCGGGGAAGAUAAUGACGGUACCCGCAGAAGAAGCCCCGGCUAACUUCGUGCCAGCCGCCGCGGUAA
RNAcentral lists this ribosomal RNA (448 nucleotides) under uncultured bacterium. RNAcentral's name for it is "partial 16S ribosomal RNA". It matches the Rfam family "Bacterial small subunit ribosomal RNA", at positions 29 to 523 of the family's 1533-position model. The record is from RNAcentral.